AUCCAGCUGACGAAUCCCAAAUACGGCGAAAUGCGUAUCCUGAAU
Non-coding RNA from Schistosoma haematobium, 45 nucleotides. Lineage: Eukaryota; Metazoa; Platyhelminthes; Trematoda; Strigeidida; Schistosomatidae. The record is from Rfam.